RNAcentral lists this ribosomal RNA (300 nucleotides) under uncultured bacterium. RNAcentral describes it as "bacterial SSU rRNA". It matches the Rfam family "Bacterial small subunit ribosomal RNA", at positions 1083 to 1382 of the family's 1533-position model. The record is from RNAcentral.
AGUCCUAUAACGAGCGCAACCCCUAUCAUUAGUUGCCAACGGGUAAUGCCGGGAACUCUGAUGAAACUGCCAGUGUAAACUGUGAGGAAGGUGGGGACGACGUCAAAUCAUCACGGCCCUUACGUCCUGGGCCACACACGUGCUACAAUGGUUGGUACAGAGAGCAGCCACUACGCGAGUAGGAGCAAAUCUUCAAAACCAAUCUCAGUUCGGAUCGCAGUCUGCAACUCGACUGCGUGAAGCUGGAAUCGCUAGUAAUCGCAUAUCAGCCAUGAUGCGGUGAAUACGUUCCCGGGUCUU